Molecule: ribosomal RNA, 216 nt
Filed under: Stenotrophomonas sp.
Lineage: Bacteria; Pseudomonadati; Pseudomonadota; Gammaproteobacteria; Lysobacterales; Lysobacteraceae
Description: partial 16S ribosomal RNA
Rfam family: Bacterial small subunit ribosomal RNA
Source: RNAcentral
CGGCAGCACAGUAAGAGCUUGCUCUUAUGGGUGGCGAGUGGCGGACGGGUGAGGAAUACAUCGGAAUCUACCUUUUCGUGGGGGAUAACGUAGGGAAACUUACGCUAAUACCGCAUACGACCUUCGGGUGAAAGCAGGGGACCUUCGGGCCUUGCGCGGAUAGAUGAGCCGAUGUCGGAUUAGCUAGUUGGCGGGGUAAAGGCCCACCAAGGCGAC